This 290-nucleotide ribosomal RNA is filed under the name uncultured bacterium. RNAcentral's name for it is "partial 16S ribosomal RNA". It matches the Rfam family "Bacterial small subunit ribosomal RNA", at positions 355 to 661 of the family's 1533-position model. The record is from RNAcentral.
UAGGGAAUAUUGGUUAAUGUGCGAAAGCGCGAACCAGCAACGCCGCGUGUGCGAUGAAGGCCUUCGGGUCGUAAAGCACUUUUUGCAGGGAAGAGGUAGGACGGUACCUGCAGAAUAAGUCUCGGCUAACUACGUGCCAGCAGCCGCGGUAAAACGUAGGAGACGAGCGUUAUCCGGAUUUACUGGGCGUAAAGCGCGUGCAGGCGGCAUGGCAAGUUGGAUGUGAAAGCUCCAGGCUUAACUGGGAGAGGUCGUUCAAUACUGACAGGAUUGAGAGAGGUAGAGGGAAG